GACGAACGCUGGCGGCGUGCUUAACACAUGCAAGUCGAACGGAAAGGCUCUGCUUUUUUGGGGUGGUCGAGUGGCGAUCGUGUGAGUAACACGUGAGUAACCUUCACGUGACUUUGGGCUGACUUCAGGAGACUGGGGAUAAUACCGGACGGGAGCUACUGCUGCAUGGUGGGGGAGGGAAAGUUUAGGCGGUGUGGGAUGGACUCGCGGCUUAUCAGGUUGCUGGGGUGGUAGAGGCUUACCAAGGCUUUGACGGGUAGCCUGCCUGAGAGGGUGACCGGACACGUUGGGACGGGGAUGCGGCCCGGCCCCCUACCGGACGCAGAAGUGGGGAAUAUUGCACUAUAGGCGGAAGCCUAGUGCAACAACGCCGCGUGGGGGAAGACGGGCUUCGGGUUGGAAACCGCUUUCGCAUGUGACGAAGAGUGAGUGACGGUAAUGGGUAAAGAAGCACCGGCUAACUACGUG
Molecule: ribosomal RNA, 468 nt
Filed under: uncultured bacterium
Lineage: Bacteria
Description: partial 16S ribosomal RNA
Rfam family: Bacterial small subunit ribosomal RNA
Source: RNAcentral